UGGGGAAUAUUGGACAAUGGGCGAAAGCCUGAUCCAGCAAUGCCGCGUGAGUGAUGAAGGCCUUAGGGUUGUAAAGCUCUUUUACCAGGGAUGAUAAUGACAGUACCUGGAGAAUAAGCUCCGGCUAACUCCGUGCCAGCAGCCGCGGUAAUACGGAGGGAGCUAGCGUUGUUCGGAAUUACUGGGCGUAAAGCGUACGUAGGCGGUUAUUCAAGUCAGAGGUGAAAGCCUGGAGCUCAACUCCAGAACUGCCUUUGAAACUAGAUAGCUAGAAUCACGGAGAGGUGAGUGGAAUUCCGAGUGUAGAGGUGAAAUUCGUAGAUAUUCGGAAGAACACCAGUGGCGAAGGCGGCUCACUGGACGUGUAUUGACGCUGAGGUACGAAAGCGUGGGGAGCAAACAGGAUUAGAUACCCUAGUAGUCCCUGAGCGGGCUGGCAAGGCGCAU
RNAcentral lists this ribosomal RNA (447 nucleotides) under uncultured bacterium. RNAcentral's name for it is "bacterial SSU rRNA". It matches the Rfam family "Bacterial small subunit ribosomal RNA", at positions 355 to 825 of the family's 1533-position model. The record is from RNAcentral.